RNAcentral lists this ribosomal RNA (253 nucleotides) under uncultured bacterium. RNAcentral's name for it is "partial 16S ribosomal RNA". It matches the Rfam family "Bacterial small subunit ribosomal RNA", at positions 524 to 776 of the family's 1533-position model. The record is from RNAcentral.
UACGUAGGAGACGAGCGUUGUCCGGAAUCACUGGGCGUAAAGCGCGUGUAGGCGGAUGAGCAAGUCUGCUGUGAAAGCUCCUGGCUUAACCGGGAGUGGUCGGUGGAAACUGCUCGUCUGGAGGACGGUAGAGGUAGGUAGAAUUCCCGGUGUAGUGGUGAAAUGCGUAGAGAUCGGGAGGAAUACCUGUGGCGAAGGCGGCCUACUGGGCCGGACCUGACGCUGAGACGCGAAGGCGUGGGGAGCGAACGGG